RNAcentral lists this small RNA (46 nucleotides) under Vibrio cholerae O1 biovar El Tor str. N16961. Lineage: Bacteria; Pseudomonadati; Pseudomonadota; Gammaproteobacteria; Vibrionales; Vibrionaceae. The record is from RNAcentral.
AUGCUCAUUAUCAGGAGCAGUGGUACCCCAAACCUUGGCCACAGAA